CCUACGGGAGGCUGCAGUGGGGAAUAUUGGACAAUGGGGGCAACCCUGAUCCAGCCAUGCCGCGUGUGUGAAGAAGGCCCUCGGGUUGUAAAGCACUUUCAGUGAGGAAGAACGCCUGGUGGUUAAUACCCAUCAGGAAAGACAUCACUCACAGAAGAAGCACCGGCUAACUCCGUGCCAGCUGCCGCGGUAAUACGGAGGGUGCGAGCGUUAAUCGGAAUUACUGGGCGUAAAGCGCGCGUAGGUGGCUUGAUAAGCCGGUUGUGAAAGCCCCGGGCUCAACCUGGGAACGGCAUCCGGAACUGUCAAGCUAGAGUGCAGGAGAGGAAGGUAGAAUUCCCGGUGUAGCGGUGAAAUGCGUAGAGAUCGGGAGGAAUACCAGUGGCGAAGGCGGCCUUCUGGACUGACACUGACACUGAGGUGCGAAAGCGUGGGUAGCAAACAGGAUUAGAUACCCGUGUAGUC
This 465-nucleotide ribosomal RNA is filed under the name Vreelandella stevensii. Its description in RNAcentral is "partial 16S ribosomal RNA". It matches the Rfam family "Bacterial small subunit ribosomal RNA", at positions 338 to 795 of the family's 1533-position model. Lineage: Bacteria; Pseudomonadati; Pseudomonadota; Gammaproteobacteria; Oceanospirillales; Halomonadaceae. The record is from RNAcentral.